Molecule: ribosomal RNA, 513 nt
Filed under: bacterium enrichment culture clone ALO1_GLFRUDD03GMUHC
Lineage: Bacteria
Description: bacterial SSU rRNA
Rfam family: Bacterial small subunit ribosomal RNA
Source: RNAcentral
GAGUUUGAUCUUGGCUCAGAUUGAACGCUGGCGGCAGGCCUAACACAUGCAAGUCGAGCGGAUGACGGGAGCUUGCUCCUUGAUUCAGCGGCGGACGGGUGAGUAAUGCCUAGGAAUCUGCCUGGUAGUGGGGGGACAACGUUUCGAAAGGAACGCUAAUACCGCAUACGUCCUACGGGAGAAAGCAGGGGACCUUCGGGCCUUGCGCUAUCAGAUGAGCCUAGGUCGGAUUAGCUAGUUGGUGGGGUAAUGGCUCACCAAGGCGACGAUCCGUAACUGGUCUGAGAGGAUGAUCAGUCACACUGGAACUGAGACACGGUCCAGACUCCUACGGGAGGCAGCAGUGGGGAAUAUUGGACAAUGGGCGAAAGCCUGAUCCAGCCAUGCCGCGUGUGUGAAGAAGGUCUUCGGAUUGUAAAGCACUUUAAGUUGGGAGGAAGGGCAGUAAGUUAAUACUUGCUGUUUUGACGUUACCGACAGAAUAAGCACCGGCUAACUCUGUGCCAGCAGCCG